RNAcentral lists this ribosomal RNA (253 nucleotides) under uncultured bacterium. Its description in RNAcentral is "partial 16S ribosomal RNA". It matches the Rfam family "Bacterial small subunit ribosomal RNA", at positions 524 to 776 of the family's 1533-position model. The record is from RNAcentral.
UACGUAGGGUGCUAGCGUUGUCCGGAUUUAUUGGGCGUAAAGGGCUCGUAGGUGGUUUGUCGCGUUGUUCGUGAAAACUCACAGCUUAACUGUGGGCGUGCGGGCGAUACGGGCAGACUUGAGUACUGCAGGGGAGACUGGAAUUCCUGGUGUAGCGGUGAAAUGCGCAGAUAUCAGGAGGAACACCGGUGGCGAAGGCGGGUCUCUGGGCCGAUAUUGACGCUGAGGAGCGAAAGCGUGGGGAGCAAACAGG